CCUACGGGAGGCAGCAGUGGGGAAUAUUGGACAAUGGGGGGAACCCUGAUCCAGCGACGCCGCGUGAGUGAAGAAGUAUUUCGGUAUGUAAAGCUCUAUCAGCAGGGAAGAAAGAAAUGACGGUACCUGACUAAGAAGCCCCGGCUAACUACGUGCCAGCAGCCGCGGUAAUACGUAGGGGGCAAGCGUUAUCCGGAUGUACUGGGUGUAAAGGGAGCGUAGACGGCGAUGCAAGUCUGAAGUGAAAGGCGGGGGCCCAACCCCCGGACUGCUUUGGAAACUGUAUGGCUGGAGUGCAGGAGAGGUAAGUGGAAUUCCUAGUGUAGCGGUGAAAUGCGUAGAUAUUAGGAGGAACACCAGUGGCGAAGGCGGCUUACUGGACUGUGACUGACGUUGAGGCUCGAAAGCGUGGGGAGCAAACAGGAUUAGAUACCCCUGUAGUC
RNAcentral lists this ribosomal RNA (443 nucleotides) under uncultured bacterium. RNAcentral describes it as "partial 16S ribosomal RNA". It matches the Rfam family "Bacterial small subunit ribosomal RNA", at positions 338 to 795 of the family's 1533-position model. The record is from RNAcentral.